RNAcentral lists this ribosomal RNA (506 nucleotides) under uncultured bacterium. RNAcentral describes it as "partial 16S ribosomal RNA". It matches the Rfam family "Bacterial small subunit ribosomal RNA", at positions 28 to 523 of the family's 1533-position model. The record is from RNAcentral.
GAUGAACGCUAGCUACAGGCUUAACACAUGCAAGUCGAGGGGUAACAAGAGAAGAGCUUGCUUUUCUUGUUGACGACCGGCGCACGGGUGAGUAACGCGUAUCCAACCUGCCUAUAACUAGGGAAUAACCUUGCGAAAGUAAGACUAAUACCCUAUGAUUUCCUUUGAUGACAUCAGAUUAGGAAUAAAGAUUUAUCGGUUAUAGAUGGGGAUGCGUCUGAUUAGCUUGUUGGCGGGGUAACGGCCCACCAAGGCAACGAUCAGUAGGGGUUCUGAGAGGAAGGUCCCCCACAUUGGAACUGAGACACGGUCCAAAAUCCUACGGGAGGCAGCAGUGAGGAAUAUUGGUCAAUGGGCGGAAGCCUGAACCAGCCAAGUAGCGUGCAGGAUGACGGCCCUAUGGGUUGUAAACUGCUUUUAUACAGGGAUAAAGUUAGCCACGUGUGGUUAUUUGUAGGUACUGUAUGAAUAAGGACCGGCUAAUUCCGUGCCAGCAGCCGCGGUAA